GCGUCAGUCCAACCCCUGUGACAUACCACUUGUUGCCUCGGCGGAUCAGCCCGCUCCCGGUAAAACGGGACGGCCCGCCAGAGGACCCCUAAACUCUGUUUCUAUAUGUAACUUCUGAGUAAAACCAUAAAUAAAUCAAAACUUUCAACAACGGAUCUCUUGGUUCUGGCAUCGAUGAAGAACGCAGCAAAAUGCGAUAAGUAAUGUGAAUUGCAGAAUUCAGUGAAUCAUCGAAUCUUUGAACGCACAUUGCGCCCGCCAGUAUUCUGGCGGGCAUGCCUGUUCGAGCGUCAUUUCAACCCUCAAGCACAGCUUGGUGUUGGGACUCGCGUUAAUUCGCGUUCCUCAAAUUGAUUGGCGGUCACGUCGAGCUUCCAUAGCGUAGUAGUAAAACCCUCGUUACUGGUAAUCGUCGCGGCCACGCCGUUAAACCCCAACUUCUGAAUGUUGACCUCGGAUCAGGUAGGAAUACCCGCUGAACUUAAGCAUAUC
This 492-nucleotide ribosomal RNA is filed under the name fungal sp. IIIM/MK/BM/9_Pink. RNAcentral describes it as "eukaryotic LSU rRNA". The stretch from base 140 to 293 matches the Rfam family "5.8S ribosomal RNA". Lineage: Eukaryota; Fungi. The record is from RNAcentral.